UUCUCACCUAAAAAAGCUCUCGCAUCUCUGUCUCUCACCAUCGCCGCUCAGUUCCGUCCAUCGCUCAGUCUUCUCCGUCUGCGCCUCUCCACCCGUGGCUUGUCAUCGACAUAAUAUACGGAAGAUAUUUCCUCUCUUUCUCUCCCUCUUGGAUCAGAAGCCAAAUGCUUCGUUUACUCGCAAAGCGUCAGUGAACUACACAAAGACACCUUCUCGUGAAUCUUUGUAAAACAAGAGGUAAAAUAGCUCACUUCUUGACUUCCGCGGAUCAAAUUUCUGUUGUCCAGCAACACAAACAGAAGACAGAAGAGAGGGAAAGAUGAAGAACAAAAGCAGCUAAUUAAAGAAUGUUGUACACAGCCAGAAGAAACUGAGUGAAUCCCCCUCUUCUACCUCAGUGCCUCUGAUGUUGAUAAUUUAAACAAUCCAUUGGCUGUAGACAACAAUCCUUAGCUAAAGCCUUGUAACCCAGCUGUUGGUGGGCUUGCAAAGUCCCAGUUCGUACCUGAAGUGGACGCAUUAGGUGGUGAAAUUGGAAAGGUAGCUGACAGCUAUUUCAUAAAGAGACAGCUGAAUCAAUCAAAGGCUUGACUAAGAAGGACACUAGAAACACUGAUGAUUGAACAGGCUGCUUCCAUACUGCAAAUAUGUCCUGGGAACUUGUGUCUUUUCUGUUUAUACAUUUAGAAUUAAGAGACUAAUAGAAAUGCCAUAUUUUGACUUGUUUUAAAUUUUCAACUGUAUAUCGAUGAAUGAAUUCUCUUCAAGCAUAUGAAAUGUGUAUUUUAUGUUUUUCAGCAAA
This is a long non-coding RNA of Ipomoea nil (Japanese morning glory), 802 nucleotides long. RefSeq lists it as uncharacterized. The transcript is spliced from 7 exons. The record is from RefSeq and is a predicted model, not a curated record. NCBI's taxonomy places the organism in Eukaryota, Viridiplantae, Streptophyta, Magnoliopsida, Solanales, Convolvulaceae.